GGGGGUGUAAUUGGUUUCGACAGUGUUUUAGAAAUAUGAAUAGCGAGUAGUGGAUUCUCGUUUGCCACUUAAAAAAACGGGAAAAUAAAUAUAAACGCAGAUCAAAGAGAAUUUGCUUUAGCUGCCUAGUGCGCUAACGUUUUAUAUAAAAUCCCCACAUUUUAUAUAAGGCGUCGACUUAGUGGGAAACAAACCUAUUUCUUGCCAUAGAAAUAGCGGGUAUUUUAAUGGCUACUAUUAUUUUUCGUUUGUUUGUUAAUGAAUUAUAGUAGGAAAUUUAAUAACAAACUACACUCGUAGAAGUUCAUGUGGAAAAGAUAUUGGACAGGAGUUCGACUCUCCUCACCUCCACCA
This 354-nucleotide transfer-messenger RNA is filed under the name Clostridia. RNAcentral describes it as "UMGS1663 sp900753245 Standard tmRNA". It matches the Rfam family "transfer-messenger RNA". Rfam says of the family: Bacterial tmRNA, also known as 10Sa RNA or SsrA, is named for its dual tRNA and mRNA-like properties. Its role is to liberate the mRNA from a stalled ribosome. To accomplish this part of the tmRNA is used as a reading frame that ends in a translation stop signal. The record is from RNAcentral. Lineage: Bacteria; Bacillati; Bacillota. RNAcentral also lists the same sequence under 1 other name.